CCACUUACUAUUACUGUAGCCCAGCUAGCCUAUACUCUGUUUUGUGGAUGAAUUGGUAGACUACUGUCUCUACCCAAUAUCUGAGGGUUUUAUGCCACCCAGUGGUCAAUGGUGUAAUUGCAACAUGUUUUACCGAGCGCAGAACACAAGCUUCAAGAAACGACGAAAUACCUACAAUUCCUGGAAUGCUACGAAACACCAGAAAUAGUUGGUGUCAUUCGUUUGGCUUUAUGUGCACGAACGUGAUUUCAGCAUUUUGGUAUAUCGCAUACUUUUGUGAUAUCAGACACAUGUGUAGAUAUUAAAAUGUAAACGCAAAUUUAAUUUCUACCGUGUUGCAUGAUGGGAAAAUAGUCGGACAGUGAUAUAACCAAGUAAAACUAAAAUUAAUCGCUUCUCCGCCGCUCUCUCCACAACUGUAUUCAUGAACGUGAUUAAACCCUGGUCGAUAUGAUGCCUUAUUAUCUGGGGCCAAAGUGGUAACCGUCAGUCAAAAACAUUUGCCCUAGAAUGACUACCCCUCCACCGAUGUGUACAACUCAUACUUACCUGGCAAGGGAGAUACCGUGAUCAAGAAGGCGGUUCACCCAGGGUGAGGCUCAGCCAUUGCACUCCGGCUGUGCUGACCCCUGCGAAUUUCCCAAAUGUGGAAAUCUCGAUUGCAUAAUUUAUGGUAGUGGGGGACUGCGUUCGCGCUCUCCCCUGAUCUUGGUGUCUAACAACAAUCAUUUUAACAUUUGUCACUGAUCAAAGGUUGAGCCUGAGAUGAGUUGAACUAUGUAGGGUAUGUCUGCAUUGGCUUUUACUUUGGCGUUCCUUCUUCAUUGCAUGAACGCUUUCAGAAUUACGGAUUUCAAAGCAAACUAGUCCUACUACUACUGUAGAUUCAUUUUCUCUUCGAAAUAGGCUGAAUGUCUGUGACUUCUUAUUGUAGCACUGGUUUUAAUGCCUAUAAAUUAGAGGUCGACCGAUUAGGAUUUUUCAACGCCGAUACCGAUACCGAUUAUUGGAGGACCAAAAAAAGCCGCUAUCGAUUAAUCAGCCGAUUAUUUAUUUAUUUGUAAUAAUGACAAUUACAACAAUACUGAAUGAAAACUUAUUUUAACUUAAUAUAAUACAUCAAUAAAAUCAAGUUCCUUGCUCAGAACAUAUGAAAGCUGGUGGUUCCUUUUAACAUGAGUCUUCAAUAUUCCCAGGUAAGAUGUUUUAGGUUGUAGUUAUUAUAGGAAUUAUAGGACUAUUUCUCUCUAUACGAUUUGUAUUUCAUAUACUUUUGACUAUUGGAUGUUCUUAUUGGCACUUUAGUAUUGCCAGUGUAACAGUAUAGCUUCUGUCCCUCUCCUCGCUCCUACCUGGGCUCGAACCAGGAACACAUCGACAACAGCCACCCUUGAAGCAGGGUUACCCAUGUAGUGGAAGGGAAAAAACUACUCCAAGUUUCAGAGCGAGUGACGUUUGAAACGCUAUUAGCGCGCACCCGGCUAACUAGCUAGCCAUUUCACAUCAGUUACUCCAGCCUAAUCUUGGGAGUUGACAGGCUUGAAGUCAUAAACAGCGCAAUGCAUUGCGAAGGGCUGCUGGCAAAAUGCACAAAAGUGCUAUUUUGAAUGAAUGCUUACGAGCCUGCUGGUGCCUACCAUCGCUCAGUCAGACUGCUCUAUCAAAUCAUAGACUUAAUUAUAACAUAAUAACACACAGAAACACGAGCCUUAGGUCAUUAAUAUGGUCGAAUCCGGCAACUAUCAUCUCAAAAACAAAACGUUAUUCCUGUUACAUUGCUGUCUUUGUUAGGAAGAAAUAGUCUUCACAGUUCGCAAUGAGCCAGGCGGCCCAAACUGCUGCAUAUUCCCUGACUCUGUUUGCAAGAGAAGUGACACAUUUUCCCUAGUUAAAAGAAAUUCAUGUUAGCAGGCAAUAUUAACUAAAUAUGCAGGUUUAAAAAUAUAUACUUGUGUAUUGAUUUUAAGAAAGGCAUUGAUGUUUAUGGUUGGAGCAACGUGUACCUAAGCGAUUAUAUGCAACGCAGGACAGGCUAGAUAAACUAGUAAUAUCAUCAACCAUGUGUAGUUAACUAGUGAUUAUGAUUGAUUCAUUGUUUUUAUAAGAUACGUUUAAUGUUAGCUAGCAACUUACCUUAGCUUCUUACUGCAUUCGCGUAACCUCGUGGAGUGCAAUGUAAAGCAGGUGAUUAGAGCGUUGGACUAGUUAACCGUAAGGUUGCAAGAUUGAAUCCUUGAGCUGACAAGGUCAAAAUCUGUCAUUCUGCCCCUGAACAAGGCAGUUAACCCACCGUUCCUAGGCCGUCAUUGAAAAUGAGAAUGUGUUCAUAACUGACUUGCCUAGUUAAAUAAAGGUCUAAAAAAAAUAUAUAUAUAUAAAAAAAUAAUAAUAAAAAAACAAACAAAAAAUCGGCCAAAUCGGCGUCCAAAAUUACCGAUUUCCGAUUGUUAUGAAAAAUUGAAAUCGGCCCUAAUUAAUCGGCCAUUCCGAUUAAUCGGUCGACCUCUACUAUAAAUGUGCUGAUAAUAUAUGGGACAAGGUGUACUUGUGAAUGCAGGGCCGGUCCUAGCCUUUUGGGGGCCUGUCAUGCCAAAUAAUGUCCCACUCUACAUCACAAUGGGAUUACAUGAGUUCUAACUUCUGUUGCUAGGGUUGUUGCUAGAACUUGCAACAUUAUGACCGGAUUACGUAAUGAACCAACGCGUUCGUUGCUAUGCUGGUUGCUCGGCUACCUCGUAGAGGUUGCAAAGGAAGGCGGACGCCGGCAGUUCUAUUUCACCUCAGAAGCGCUAGCUCAGUAGCAAGCGGUAAAUUGCCGCGUGCCGCUUAGUCCGGCCAGAGUGGUUCGCUUGUGGGCGUGCUGGCAUCAUAUGGGAGCAUAUAGCAACACCUUCAGUUGUGCGUCAAGAAUUGAGCAAGGCACAUUUGUAUGGAGGUCUGGUUAUGAAAAGGGUAAAUAGUUACAUAGUAAUAUGCUCUAAAACUCUCUGGUGACAAACUUUGCUGCCCCGUUUCCAAUCGUCCACAUGGCUGGGAGAACUUAUUCAAAUAAGUAAAUACAUUUCUAAAAUGUAAAAAAAAAAACCACUGUUUUAUUAGCUAACUAGCUACGGUGCAGGCUAACUCAAAUAGUCUGCUAAUGUAGCUAACAGUAGUUAGCUAUCUAGCCAACUUUACAUAUCAAAUUUAUUUAUAUAGCCCUUCUUACAUCAGCUGAUAUCUCAAAGUGCUGUACAGAAACCCAGCCUAAAACCCCAAACAGCAAGCAAUGCAGGUGUAGAAGCACGGUGGCUAGGAAAAACUCCCUAGAAAGGCCAAAACCUAGGAAGAAUACUGUACAUACUGUAUAGAUAGCUAGCUAAGUGAAUUAAAUAUCACCAGCUACCCAACUUCAUAUUAGCUAGCCAUCUUGAUCUAUUUAUCACUGUAAAAAAACUGUAAAUGCAUUUGUAGCUAGCUAGCUAACAGCCUCCAUGGCGAAUGGGUGAAAGGAUAGCAGCCCCAACUGUCAAAGUGAGAAAGUAGGCUAUUCUGGAUAGUGCAGGUACUUUUGUGUAGUUCCAGUCCCUAGAAGUGAGGAUGGAGAUAAUAGUAACAUAAUAUUCAGUGUGUUCUAAUUUGAGUAUAAUGAAGUAUAUUUCUUGUGAGGUUUUCUGUCCUCAGAUACAGAGAGCUGUGAAAGCCUGUCUGCAGAUGAAGAUGUCCCCAAAAGAGCAGUGGUUCUCAGUCCUGGGGACUCAAAGGGGUGCACAUUUUUGUUUUUGCCUUAGCACUGCACAGCUGAUUCAAAUGGUAAACUCAUCAUCAAGCUUCAAGUGGUAUUUAUGUAGUAAUUUGUGAUGCUAUCCUUGAUAUGAUCCUAUGUGUGCACAUGCAUCUAUCAAUCCAAUGUUAUCAUGAUUUGGUAUAAGGGAUAUUAUACUUUAGUAGUCCACAAUGACCUGGGGAUGUAAAAGUUUAAUAGUUAAAUUAUAUUCCAUCUUCCUACAGAUACCUUGUAACUGGAGAUUCCUGCUUACAGUUACCGUGUAUGGCACUGCAAGGUUGGGUGACCAAGGCCAUCUGGGACUGCCUCCUGGAGGAAUUCAGGCGUGUGAAGGCUACCUGUGUCCUGCAUAACUUCAUGAGGAUGGACACGAGGACCAGGAGGGGAUCUGUAGCUUGCCACUGUGUGUCAGAGGAGAAGUCUGCUGCUUUGCAGGAUGUUAAAAGGAUGGGGUCCAACAACGCAGCAAGAGAGGCAAUCCGUGUGUGGGAGAUCUUCACCUACUUCUUCAAAGAGGGUGUUGUUACCUGAGGUCAUCUUGAGUGACCUAGGUCGUGAACUCUGGAACAAGGUAAUAACAUUACAGGCUAUAUUCUGUCACCAACUAUAUAAAUAGCCAAGUUUAUUUACUGAUGUGCGAUUUUCUUGCUAUUGCAAACAGUCUUACUCUCUGCAGAGAUGAGGAACCCUCCAUGACACGAUACCAUCAGAAAUCCAUGAGAAAACAUAUUUUUACUUGUUUUCAUGCUGGGCACCUGGCACCAUUUCUCAGUCCCGAUUCCAGUCCUCAUCCUGGGUCCAGGCCUUCGAAGGUGUCCACACUCUACCCAGAGUUCAGCGUCCACUGCUUCUGGCGGAAAUACGUGAGAAAAGAUGAAGUUCUGCAUCUAGUGAAGUCUGAUUGCCCAAUAAUCUGCCCACUAAACCAAAAAAUUGAAUCAAUGUUUUCAUUUUAUUAGCUAAAUAAAACUUGUUUAAACAGAGAAAUUGUAGCAGAAAUCUGUCUUGUUUGCAUAGCAAUGAUGAAAAGAACGUAAUUUAGGCUGUAAUGAGCUCCAAAAUUCUAAUCAUUAGGUCAUCACACCGUUGAUAUAGCAACAGACUCUAAUAGUUUAUCGAAUCCCAUUGUGACAUAGAGGGGGAUACUAUUUGGUUGGGGGACAUUAUUUGGCAUGACAGGCCCUCAAGGCUUCAGCAUGCUUCAGUUCGACUGGCGCCUAGCGAACCAAACGAGCAUGCUCAUAUACUCCCUUAAAAGACAUUUGCUUGAAAAACGCAAAAAAAGUGGCAAUAGUACUGUUUGUCCAUUUUGGGAUGCUGUAGCUUCCUCAAAAUAGUCAGAAUUAAUUGAAGAUAACUCAUGAACUCGGUCAUUCAUUUUGACGUUUUGCAGAGGAGUUUUUAGUCUUAGUUAGAUGUAAAGAGAAGCUUAGCAAUUGUACUCUGCUCAAAAAAAUAAAGGGAACACUAAAAUAACACAUCCUAGAUCUGAAUGAAUGAAAUAAUCUUAUUAAAUACUUUUUUCUUUACAUAGUUGAAUGUGCUGACAACAAAAUCACAGAAAAAUAAUCAAUUGAAAUCCAAUUUAUCAACCCAUGCAGGUCUGGAUUUAGAGUCACACUAAAAAUUAAAGUGGAAAACCACACUACAGGCUGAUCCAACUUUGAUGUAAUGUCCUUAAAACAAGUCAAAAUGGGGCUCAGUAGUGUGUGUGGCCUCCACGUGCCUGUAUGACCGCCCUACAACGCCUGGGCAUGCUCCUGAUGAGGUGGCGGAUGGUCUCCUGAGGGAUCUCCUCCCAGACCUGGACUAAAGCAUCCGCCAACUCCUGGACAGUCUGUGGUGCAACGUGGCGUUGGUGGAUGGAGCGAGACAUGAUGUCCCAGAUGUGCUCAAUUGGAUUCAGGUCUGGAGAACGGGCGGGCCAGUCCAUAGCAUCAAUGCCUUCCUCUUGCUCUGGCAGUGCUCCUCCUGCUCCUACUUGCACAAAGGCGGAGGUAGCGGUCCUGCUGCUGGGUUGUUGCCCUCCUACGGCCUCCUCCACAUCUCCUGAUGUACUGGCCUGUCUCCUGGUAGCGCCUCCAUGCUCUGGACACUACGCUGACAGACACAGAAAACCUUCUUGCCACAGCUCGCAUUGAUGUGCCAUCCUGGAUGAGCAGCACUACCUGAGCCACUUGUGUGGGUGCUUGUGUGGGUCUCAUGCUACCACUAGAGUGAAAGCACCGCCAGCAUUCAAAAGUGACCAAAACAUCAGCCAGGAAGCAUAGGAACUGAGAAGUGGUCUGUGGUCACCACCUGCAGAACCACUCCUUUAUUGGGGGUGUCUUGCUAAUUGCCUAUAAUUUCCACCUGUUGUCUAUUCCAUUUGCACAACAGCAUGUGACAUUUAUUGUCAAUCAGUGUUGCUUCCUGAGUGGACAGUUUGAUUUCACAGAAGUGUGAUUGACUUGGAGUUACAUUGUGUUGUUUAAGUGUUCCCUUUAUUUUUUUGAGCAGUGUAUAAUACAUUUCAUGCAAUUCUAUUUAUUUUAGCAUGGGGCAGAGAGAAAAAAAUCUGCAGUUCUAAAGCAAAUUUCCUGCAAUUCUACACAUUUUGCAAAGACUGCAAAUAAUAUGCUAAUAAUAUCUGAGUGCGAGUGACUUAACAAAAUAAAUGGACUAACUAACAGGUCAAACAAUUGUUAGCUGACAUGGCUAAUUGAGUGACUGUCAGUGACUGACAAAGAUCUUGUGUAUUCUACUAUUUUAACUCUCAACAGUAAGUUGAGACCCCGACUGAGUUUCUAUUUUGUCCUUCCUGUGACAUUGGGUGCUAUAGGUGUCCUGGAGGGCAGGGUAGUUUUCCCCCAGUGAUGCAUUGGGCAGACUGCACCACCCUCUGGAAAGCCCUGCGGUACCGGGUGGUGCAGUUGCCGUACCAGGCAGUGAUACAACCCGACAGGUUGUGCUCAAUUGCGCAUCUGUAAAAGUUUGAGGGUUUUAGGGGCCUGGAGCCAGGAGCCAGCCCUGUGUGAAUGGAUUGUUUUGGAUCUCAGACAGAAUGGAUGGAUUGGGGUGUUUCAUUUGCUUAGAUAAUAAAAUAUAGAACAGUUUGUAAUUUAACC
This 6873-nucleotide long non-coding RNA is filed under the name Salmo salar (Atlantic salmon). RNAcentral describes it as "lncRNA (ENSSSAG00000086416.1)". The stretch from base 542 to 705 matches the Rfam family "U1 spliceosomal RNA". Lineage: Eukaryota; Metazoa; Chordata; Actinopteri; Salmoniformes; Salmonidae. The record is from RNAcentral.